RNAcentral lists this ribosomal RNA (467 nucleotides) under uncultured bacterium. RNAcentral describes it as "partial 16S ribosomal RNA". It matches the Rfam family "Bacterial small subunit ribosomal RNA", at positions 29 to 507 of the family's 1533-position model. The record is from RNAcentral.
ACGAACGCUGGCGGCGUGCUUAACACAUGCAAGUCGAACGGAAAGGCCCUGCUUUUGUGGGGUGCUCGAGUGGCGAACGGGGGAGUAACACGUGAGUAACCUGCCCUUUACUUUGGGAUAACUUCAGGAAACUGGGGCUAAUACCGGAUAGGAGCUCCUGCUGCAUGGUGGGGGUUGGAAAGUUUCGGCGGUUGGGGAUGGACUCGCGGCUUAUCAGCUUGUUGGUGGGGUAGUGGCUUACCAAGGCUUUGACGGGUAGCCGGCCUGAGAGGGUGACCGGCCACAUUGGGACUGAGAUACGGCCCAGACUCCUACGGGAGGCAGCAGUGGGGAAUAUUGCACAAUGGGCGGAAGCCUGAUGCAGCAACGCCGCGUGCGGGAUGACGGCCUUUGGGUUGUAAACCGCUUUCGCCUGUGACGAAGCGUGAGUGACGGUAAUGGGUAAAGAAGCACCGGCUAACUACGUG